RNAcentral lists this ribosomal RNA (469 nucleotides) under uncultured bacterium. RNAcentral's name for it is "bacterial SSU rRNA". It matches the Rfam family "Bacterial small subunit ribosomal RNA", at positions 28 to 507 of the family's 1533-position model. The record is from RNAcentral.
GAUGAACGCUAGCGGCAGGCCUAAUACAUGCAAGUCGAACGGUGUCUUCGGACAUAGUGGCGCACGGGUGCGUAACACGUAUGCAACCUACCUUACAUUGGGGGAUAGCCUUUCGAAAGGGAGAUUAAUACCGCAUAAGACAGUAACUAGGCAUCUAGUAGCUGUUAAAGAUUUAUCGAUGUAAGCUGGGCAUGCGUCCAAUUAGCUAGUUGGUGAGGUAACGGCUCACCAAGGCAAUGAUUGGUAGGGGAACUGAGAGGUCAAUCCCCCACACUGGCACUGAGAUACGGGCCAGACUCCUACAGGAGGCAGCAGUAGGGAAUAUUGGGCAAUGGACGCAAGUCUGACCCAGCCAUGCCGCGUGCAGGAUGAAGGCGUUAUGCGUUGUAAACUGCUUUUAUACAGGAAGAAACGACUCUUGCGAGAGGCAUUGACGGUACUGUAUGAAUAAGCACCGGCUAACUCCGUG